Molecule: ribosomal RNA, 766 nt
Filed under: Globodera pallida
Lineage: Eukaryota; Metazoa; Nematoda; Chromadorea; Rhabditida; Heteroderidae
Description: SSU rRNA
Rfam family: Eukaryotic small subunit ribosomal RNA
Source: RNAcentral
UAACUGUGGUAAUUCUAGAGCUAAUACAUGCACCAAAGCUCCAAUCUUCCCAGAGCGGAGCGCAUUUGUUCGCCACAAAACCAAGCGCCUUCGGGCGUCCAGUGUUGACUCAGAACAACUAAGCUGAUCGCACGGUCUUGUACCGGCGACGUGUCUUUCAAGUGUCUGCCUUAUCAACUUUCGAUGGUAGUGUACCUGACUACCAUGGUGAUGACGGGUAACGGAGGAUAAGGGUUCGACUCCGGAGAAGGGGCCUGAGAAAUGGCCACACGUCUAAGGAUGGCAGCAGGCGCGCAAAUUACCCACUCUCAACAUGAGGAGGUAGUGACGAGAAAUAACGAGACCGAUCUCUUAUGAGGCCGGUCAUCGGAAUGGGUACAAUUUAAACCCUUUAACGAGUAUCUAUGAGAGGGCAAGUCUGGUGCCAGCAGCCGCGGUAAUUCCAGCUCUCAAAAUGCAUAGAAUUAUUGCUGCGGUUAAAAAGCUCGUAGUUGGAUCUGUGCUAGCCGGCCGGUCCACCCACUGGGUGUGCACUGGUUCGGUUGGCUUUUCUGCCGGUCUCUCCCCGGCGUUGGCCUUCACUGGUCGGCGUCGGUGGGCUGGCGAGUUUACUUUGAACAAAUCAGAGUGCUUCAAACAGGCGUUUCGCUUGAAUGUUCGUGCAUGGAAUAAUAGAAGAGGAUUUCGGUCCGAUUUUAUUGGUUUUGCUGACCGAGAUAAUGGUUAACAGAGACAAACGGGGCCAUUCGUAUUGCUACGUGAGAGG